Molecule: ribosomal RNA, 138 nt
Filed under: uncultured eukaryote
Lineage: Eukaryota
Description: partial 18S ribosomal RNA
Rfam family: Eukaryotic small subunit ribosomal RNA
Source: RNAcentral
UGGUGGAGUGAUUUGUCUGCUUAAUUGCGUUAACGAACGAGACCUUCCCGUGCUUACUAGACGGUUGAUUUUACAAUCGGCUGCUCUUCUUAGACGGACAUUUGGCGCUUAAGUCAAAGGAAGUUGGAGGCAAUAACA